GCUUACGGCCAUACCAGCCUGGGUACGCCCGAUCUCGUCUGAUGUCGGAAGCUAAGCAGGGUCGGGCCUGGUUAGUACUUGGAUGGGAGACCGCCUGGGAAUACCAGGUGCUGUAACCA
This 119-nucleotide ribosomal RNA is filed under the name Salmo salar (Atlantic salmon). The record is from RNAcentral. Lineage: Eukaryota; Metazoa; Chordata; Actinopteri; Salmoniformes; Salmonidae.